Molecule: ribosomal RNA, 478 nt
Filed under: uncultured bacterium
Lineage: Bacteria
Description: partial 16S ribosomal RNA
Rfam family: Bacterial small subunit ribosomal RNA
Source: RNAcentral
GACGAACGCUGGCGGCGUGCUUAACACAUGCAAGUCGAACGGUAAGGCCCUUCGGGGUACACGAGUGGCGAACGGGUGAGUAACACGUGGGUGAUCUGCCCUGCACUUCGGGAUAAGCCUGGGAAACUGGGUCUAAUACCGGAUAGGACUCCUGGCUUCAUGGUUGGGGGGGGAAAGCUUUUGCGGUGUGGGAUGGGCCCGCGGCCUAUCAGCUUGUUGGUGGGGUGAUGGCCUACCAAGGCGACGACGGGUAGCCGGCCUGAGAGGGUGUCCGGCCACACUGGGACUGAGAUACGGCCCAGACUCCUACGGGAGGCAGCAGUGGGGAAUAUUGCACAAUGGGCGCAAGCCUGAUGCAGCGACGCCGCGUGGGGGAUGACGGCCUUCGGGUUGUAAACCUCUUUCACCAGGGACGAAGCGCAAGUGACGGUACCUGGAGAAGAAGCACCGGCCAACUACGUGCCAGCCGCCGCUGUAA